UGCUCUCCCUUCUCUCUUCUUUCUCUCUCAUCAUGUAAGCCUUUCAAGCUUUCAAGCUUUCCUACCCUCGUCUAUUGUAAGAUAUUUCUCCUUAUGUAUAAUAUAAAUAUGUUUUGAUUACCUCCUAUAUGGAUGAUUUUUAAUUAAGUUUUGUUUUCAUUUCAUUUUAUGCUCUUGUACCUCAUACAUGGAUGGUUCUAAUUAAGCUUUGUUUUUAAUUUUAUAUUUUUCAUUCUUGUACCGCCUAUCAUGGCUGGUUUUAAGCUUAUUAUGAACUAACAAGUUUUUUGGUUCCUUCUCUUUAAAUUUCUUGUUGGAUAUCUUUUGUAUUUUCUAACUCCUCUUCUUUGUUUUGAAUCAUGGCAUAAUUCCCGUUUUCAUUGCAUAUGACCUUGUCCUGGGUGUCUAUGGUAUCAGAGCCC
RNAcentral lists this long non-coding RNA (422 nucleotides) under Vitis vinifera (wine grape). RNAcentral's name for it is "long non-coding RNA (VVIN_LNC000129)". The record is from RNAcentral. Lineage: Eukaryota; Viridiplantae; Streptophyta; Magnoliopsida; Vitales; Vitaceae.